Molecule: ribosomal RNA, 230 nt
Filed under: uncultured bacterium
Lineage: Bacteria
Description: partial 16S ribosomal RNA
Rfam family: Bacterial small subunit ribosomal RNA
Source: RNAcentral
AAGCGUGCGCAGGCGGUUUUUGUAAGACUGUCGUGAAAUCCCCGGGCUCAACCUGGGAAUGGCGAUGGUGACUGCAAGGCUAGAGUUUGGCAGAGGGGGGUAGAAUUCCACGUGUAGCAGUGAAAUGCGUAGAUAUGUGGAGGAACACCGAUGGCGAAGGCAGCCCCCUGGGUCAAAACUGACGCUCAUGCACGAAAGCGUGGGGAGCAAACAGGAUUAGAUACCCGAGU